GCAGGGAUGACGGAAGGACAACUGGAAGGCUUUCCUUUGCCUCCAAAGGCCAGAUGCUGUAUGAUCCAUUCUUAAAUCACUGCAGAGAAUGUAGUCAUCUCACAGAAGUCUGUCCCUCCUGCCCUUUAAUCAUCCUUGAUUUUUCUCUCUGAACUGCCUCCAGUAUGUCUACAUUCUUUGCUGGAAAAGUCACUGGGGCUGCCGCUGCUACUGCUGCCUGCCUUUGAGAAAUUCAAUCGUGCUGACUGGGGGAACCUGGGGAGAGCUGACUACUCCUUCCUUCGGUUUGUAAUGGCCCCAAAGACCAUUUAAUCAUCUGCGGAUGACACAAAGGCCGCGCUGUGAGAGCCGGAUGUGGAGGCAAUUUGCUAGCAGCUCAGGCUGUACACGUAACCACGCAAAGCUUGACAUGCCAUCCUCAACCCUGCGCCCAUGUAUGCUGGUGAACACAUUCAAAAUAGCUGCAAGAGCUGGGAACUUCUGAGAGGAUGCCUCUGGACACAGAUCUGUCCCCCUUCUUACGAGCAUUUCUCCUGACAAAGUUUUAGGAUUUGUAAUUCAGAAAAGCCACUUGCUGUUGACUAAUGCAUGCCAAUUAAGUUCAGCCCAUUGAAUCAACAGUUUCCUGUUACCUGUUCCUUCAGGUAGAACAGCGGCUGAUACCCCUGCCCUUUCCCAGGCUUCUGUGCAGGGACCUUUCCUGCCCGAAAACAGUGGGGACACCUGUUUUCUGAGCAGGGAAGGCCAGCACCUGAAAUCCUAGGAAUGGUCCCGCUAUUGAAAACAGGGGGCUUGAUAAGGCAGCCACUGUGAUAGGCAGUGGAAAUUUGAUGAUGAAAGGAGAUGCCUAAUAGAUUAAUCUGGUGUGAUUUGCCAAAACACAGGGUUUUCUGGAAGAUUAUGCACACUCGCAAUAGGAAGCCCUUUGUUUUGUGAAAGUCCCCACUUAUCAUGGUAUUCUUUAUCUCAACAAGAAACAUAAUGGUUUACUUGUUUACAUGCAUGGCAGAUAUAUUCAGAGCUGGGCUUAGGAACUGUGAACUCCUUUUCAUUUGAAACAUUUCCAGCAGGCAGGUUAUUAGCUGAGGGGGAACAAGCAGUUGGACACACAUAAAAUUUAAAUCUGCCUUGCUUAGAUUGGCAAAAAUGAAUGUUAUUUCAUCCACCGGGAAAAUGUUUUACUUCCUGCUCAAAUACUUUUGGAAGAAAAUCACAAGCUCAUUUGUAGCCAUCAUAU
This 1237-nucleotide long non-coding RNA is filed under the name Numida meleagris (helmeted guineafowl). RNAcentral's name for it is "lncRNA (ENSNMEG00000017429.1)". The record is from RNAcentral. Lineage: Eukaryota; Metazoa; Chordata; Aves; Galliformes; Numididae.